UAGGAUGAACGCUAGCUACAGGCUUAACACAUGCAAGUCGAGGGGCAGCAUGGUCUUAGCUUGCUAAGGCCGAUGGCGACCGGCGCACGGGUGAGUAACACGUAUCCAACCUGCCGUCUACUCUUGGACAGCCUUCUGAAAGGAAGAUUAAUACAAGAUGGCAUCAUGAGUCCGCAUGUUCACAUGAUUAAAGGUAUUCCGGUAGACGAUGGGGAUGCGUUCCAUUAGAUAGUAGGCGGGGUAACGGCCCACCUAGUCUUCGAUGGAUAGGGGUUCUGAGAGGAAGGUCCCCCACAUUGGAACUGAGACACGGUCCAAACUCCUACGGGAGGCAGCAGUGAGGAAUAUUGGUCAAUGGGCGAGAGCCUGAACCAGCCAAGUAGCGUGAAGGAUGACUGCCCUAUGGGUUGUAAACUUCUUUUAUAAAGGAAUAAAGUCGGGUAUGGAUACCCGUUUGCAUGUACUUUAUGAAUAAGGAUCGGCUAACUCCGUGCCAGCAGCCGCGGUAAUACGGAGGAUCCGAGCGUUAUCCGGAUUUAUUGGGUUUAAAGGGAGCGUAGAUGGAUGUUUAAGUCAGUUGUGAAAGUUUGCGGCUCAACCGUAAAAUUGCAGUUGAUACUGGAUAUCUUGAGUGCAGUUGAGGCAGGCGGAAUUCGUGGUGUAGCGGUGAAAUGCUUAGAUAUCACGAAGAACUCCGAUUGCGAAGGCAGCCUGCUAAGCUGCAACUGACAUUGAGGCUCGAAAGUGUGGGUAUCAAACAGGAUUAGAUACCCUGGUAGUCCACACGGUAAACGAUGAAUACUCGCUGUUUGCGAUAUACGGCAAGCGGCCAAGCGAAAGCGUUAAGUAUUCCACCUGGGGGAGUACGCCGGCAACGGUGAAAACUCAAAAGGAAUUGACGGGGGCCCCGCACAAGCGGAGGAACAUGUGGUUUAAUUUGAUGAUACGCGAGGAACCUUACCCGGGCUUAAAUUGCAGAUGAAUUACGGUGAAAGCCGUAAGCCGCAAGGCAUCUGUGAAGGUGCUGCAUGGUUGUCGUCAGCUCGUGCCGUGAGGUGUCGGCAUAAGUGCCAUAACGAGCGCAACCCUUGUUGUCAGUUACUAACAGGUUAUGCUGAGGACUCUGACAAGACUGCCAUCGUAAGAUGUGAGGAAGGUGGGGAUGACGUCAAAUCAGCACGGCCCUUACGUCCGGGGCUACACACGUGUUACAAUGGGGGGUACAGAGGGCCGCUACCACGCGAGUGGAUGCCAAUCCCCAAAACCUCUCUCAGUUCGGACUGGAGUCUGCAACCCGACUCCACGAAGCUGGAUUCGCUAGUAAUCGCGCAUCAGCCACGGCGCGGUGAAUACGUUCCCGGGCCUUGUACACACCGCCCGUCAAGCCAUGGGAGCCGGGGGUACCUGAAGUGCGUAACCGCGAGGAGCGCCCUAGGGUAAAAC
This 1443-nucleotide ribosomal RNA is filed under the name uncultured organism. RNAcentral's name for it is "SSU rRNA". It matches the Rfam family "Bacterial small subunit ribosomal RNA". The record is from RNAcentral.